UACGUAGGGGGCAAGCGUUGUCCGGAUUUAUUGGGCGUAAAGAGCUCGUAGGCGGCCUGUCGCGUCUGCUGUGAAAUCCCGGGGCUUAACCCCGGGCGUGCAGUGGAUACGGGCUGGCUGGAGGCAGGCAGGGGAGAAUGGAAUUCCCGGUGUAGCGGUGAAAUGCGCAGAUAUCGGGAGGAACACCGGUGGCGAAGGCGGUUCUCUGGGCCUGUUCUGACGCUGAGGAGCGAAAGCGUGGGGAGCGAACAGG
RNAcentral lists this ribosomal RNA (253 nucleotides) under uncultured bacterium. RNAcentral describes it as "partial 16S ribosomal RNA". It matches the Rfam family "Bacterial small subunit ribosomal RNA", at positions 524 to 776 of the family's 1533-position model. The record is from RNAcentral.